RNAcentral lists this ribosomal RNA (253 nucleotides) under uncultured bacterium. RNAcentral's name for it is "partial 16S ribosomal RNA". It matches the Rfam family "Bacterial small subunit ribosomal RNA", at positions 524 to 776 of the family's 1533-position model. The record is from RNAcentral.
GACGUAGGGUGCAAGCGUUGUCCGGAUUUAUUGGGCGUAAAGAGCUCGUAGGCGGCUUGUUGCGUCGACUGUGAAAACCCGCGGCUUAACCGCGGGCUUGCAGUUGAUACGGGCAGGCUAGAGUUCGGUAGGGGAGACUGGAAUUCCUGGUGUAGCGGUGAAAUGCGCAGAUAUCAGGAAGAACACCCGUGGCGAAGGCGGCUCUCUGGGACGGUACUGACGCUGAGACGCGAAAGCGUGGGGAGCGAACAGG